UACGUAGGGUGCAAGCGUUGCCCCGGAUUUAUUGGGCGUAAAGGGCGCGUAGGCGGCACUGUUAGUCAGGCGUGAAAGUCCUGGGCUCAACCUGGGAACUGCGCUUGAUACGGCAGAGCUAGAGGAUGGAAGAGGGUCGCGGAAUUCCCAGUGUAGAGGUGAAAUUCGUAGAGAUCCGGAGGAACACCAGUGGCGAAGGCGACACGCUGGGCCAUACCUGACGCUAAAGCGCGACAGCAUGGGGAGCAAACAGG
RNAcentral lists this ribosomal RNA (254 nucleotides) under uncultured bacterium. RNAcentral describes it as "partial 16S ribosomal RNA". It matches the Rfam family "Bacterial small subunit ribosomal RNA", at positions 524 to 776 of the family's 1533-position model. The record is from RNAcentral.